UACAGAGGUCCCGAGCGUUGUUCGGAUUUAUUGGGCGUAAAGGGUGCGUAGGCGGCGGAGUAAGUUGGGUGUGAAAUCUCGGGGCUUAACUCCGAAACUGCAUUCGAUACUGCCGUGCUUGAGGACUGGAGAGGAAACUGGAAUUUACGGUGUAGCGGUGAAAUGCGUAGAUAUCGUAAGGAAGACCAGUGGCGAAGGCGGGUCUCUGGACAGUUCCUGACGCUGAGGAACGAAGGCCAGGGGAGCAAACGGG
RNAcentral lists this ribosomal RNA (253 nucleotides) under uncultured bacterium. RNAcentral's name for it is "partial 16S ribosomal RNA". It matches the Rfam family "Bacterial small subunit ribosomal RNA", at positions 524 to 776 of the family's 1533-position model. The record is from RNAcentral.